CCUACGGGAGGGCAGCAGUGAGGGAAUAUUGGACAAUGGGCGCAAGCCUGAUCCAGCCAUGCCGCGUGCAGGAAGAAGCAUCUAUGGUGUGUAAACUGCUUUUGUACAGGAAGAAACACUCCCUCGUGAGGGAGCUUGACGGUACUGUAAGAAUAAGGACCGGCUAACUCCGUGCCAGCAGCCGCGGUAAUACGGAGGGUCCGAGCGUUAUCCGGAAUCAUUGGGUUUAAAGGGUCCGUAGGCGGUUUAAUAAGUCAGUGGUGAAAUCUGGUCGCUCAACGAUCAAACGGCCAUUGAUACUGUUAGACUUGAAUUAUAAGGAAGUAACUAGAAUAUGUAGUGUAGCGGUGAAAUGCUUAGAUAUUACAUGGAAUACCAAUUGCGAAGGCAGGUUACUACUUAUGGAUUGACGCUGAUGGACGAAAGCGUGGGGAGCGAACAGGAUUAGAUACCCUGGUAGUCCACGCCGUAAACGAUGGAUACUAGCUGUUCGGAGCAAUCUGAGUGGCUAAGCGAAAGUGAUAAGUAUCCCACCUGGGGAGUACGUUCGCAAGAAUGAAACUCAAAGANAAUUGACGNGNGAGAGAGACGACGACGACGAGGAGGAGGNGG
RNAcentral lists this ribosomal RNA (612 nucleotides) under uncultured bacterium. RNAcentral describes it as "bacterial SSU rRNA". It matches the Rfam family "Bacterial small subunit ribosomal RNA", at positions 338 to 944 of the family's 1533-position model. The record is from RNAcentral.